GACGAACGCUGGCGGCGUGCCUAAUACAUGCAAGUAGAACGCUGAAGAGAGGAGCUUGCUCUUCUUGGAUGAGUUGCGAACGGGUGAGUAACGCGUAGGUAACCUGCCUUGUAGCGGGGGAUAACUAUUGGAAACGAUAGCUAAUACCGCAUAACAAUGGAUGACACAUGUCAUUUAUUUGAAAGGGGCAAUUGCUCCACUACAAGAUGGACCUGCGUUGUAUUAGCUAGUAGGUGAGGUAAUGGCUCACCUAGGCGACGAUACAUAGCCGACCUGAGAGGGUGAUCGGCCACACUGGGACUGAGACACGGCCCAGACUCCUAUGGGAGGCAGCAGUAGGGAAUCUUCGGCAAUAGGGGCAACCCUGACCGAGCAACGCCGCGUGAGUGAAGAAGGUUUUCGGAUCGUAAAGCUCUGUUGUAAGUCAAGAACGGGUGUGAGAGUGGAAAGUUCACACUGUGACGGUAGCUUACCAGAAAGGGACGGCUAACUACGUG
This 497-nucleotide ribosomal RNA is filed under the name uncultured bacterium. RNAcentral's name for it is "partial 16S ribosomal RNA". It matches the Rfam family "Bacterial small subunit ribosomal RNA", at positions 28 to 507 of the family's 1533-position model. The record is from RNAcentral.